GGGGAGGUUCCAGAGCGGUCAAAAGGGGCGGACUGUAAAUCCGUUGGCGAAGCCUUCGCAGGUUCGAAUCCUGCCCUCCCCA
RNAcentral lists this transfer RNA (82 nucleotides) under Gemmatimonadota bacterium. Its description in RNAcentral is "tRNA-Tyr". It matches the Rfam family "tRNA". Rfam says of the family: Transfer RNA (tRNA) molecules are approximately 80 nucleotides in length. Their secondary structure includes four short double-helical elements and three loops (D, anti-codon, and T loops). The record is from RNAcentral. RNAcentral also lists the same sequence under 1 other name. Lineage: Bacteria; Pseudomonadati; Gemmatimonadota.